Zingiber officinale is the source of this 437-nucleotide long non-coding RNA. RefSeq lists it as uncharacterized. The transcript has 3 exons. Lineage: Eukaryota; Viridiplantae; Streptophyta; Magnoliopsida; Zingiberales; Zingiberaceae. The record is from RefSeq and is a predicted model, not a curated record.
UGCUUUCGUUAAUCGCAUUCAUCCGCCAUUGAUGGCCUCCUAAACCACUUGCAAUGCUUGUGGAAAUGGGGAAUCGACUUCCCAGGUCAAAAUGAAGGUUGAAGAAGUCUCCUCCUCUGAUUCCUUGAUCAAUUAUUAGGCUCUCAUCAUCAACGCUUGAGGCACGCGCCAGGGAGAACCUCUAUUCGACCUAGCGUCUCCGAUUCCUCCCAGUUUAUCGGGUUUAGGGUUUAGGGUUUAGGGUUUAGGGAUGGAGGAGGGCGCAAAGAUGGAGAAGAACUUGUCGUCAGCUGCGGCUUUUGUGAAAGGGGUCCAAGACGCCUGCGACGAUGCCUGCAACAUAUGUCUUGAAGAAUUCUGCCAGAGUGAUCCUUCGACAGUUACUGGUUGCAAGCAUGAGUUCCAUCUCCAGUACAUUCUUGAGUGGUAAUCAACGA